Non-coding RNA from Salmo salar (Atlantic salmon), 256 nucleotides. The record is from RefSeq and is a predicted model, not a curated record. NCBI's taxonomy places the organism in Eukaryota, Metazoa, Chordata, Actinopteri, Salmoniformes, Salmonidae.
UGGUACCUGUUAGGGAUUGAGGGGCUUUCUGGAAUGUGCUUUGGCAUAUGAUUGCUGUAGAUAAGUGUUAGCUAGCAUACACCGUUGUAAUGGUCACAUAAGCCCACUGCUAACACAGUUGUCUUCAUGCUACAGCUUUUGCCAUUGACAGCCAUCAGUAUCAUUAAGCCCUGCACAACUACUGUGCUGUUUCUCAUUUAACAACAGGAAUAAAUGAUGCUCAACUGGGACCACUGGCUGAUGUGAUUUAUUAGGA